This 67-nucleotide small nucleolar RNA is filed under the name Tyto alba (common barn owl). RNAcentral's name for it is "Small nucleolar RNA SNORD58". It matches the Rfam family "Small nucleolar RNA SNORD58". Rfam says of the family: snoRNA U58 is found in introns 1, 3 and 6 of the ribosomal protein RPL17 gene in humans. U58 is a member of the C/D class of snoRNA which contain C (UGAUGA) and D (CUGA) box motifs. Lineage: Eukaryota; Metazoa; Chordata; Aves; Strigiformes; Tytonidae. The record is from Rfam by way of RNAcentral.
UGGCAGUGAUGACUAUCUUAAGACACCUUUGGAAUAACUGUGAAAUAAUUCCCUCCCCCUGAGCCAU